This 299-nucleotide unclassified non-coding RNA is filed under the name uncultured fungus. RNAcentral's name for it is "partial contains 5.8S ribosomal RNA, internal transcribed spacer 2, and large subunit ribosomal RNA". The stretch from base 1 to 52 matches the Rfam family "5.8S ribosomal RNA", at positions 103 to 154 of the family's 154-position model. Lineage: Eukaryota; Fungi. The record is from RNAcentral.
AACGCACAUUGCGCCUUCUGGUAUUCCGGUAGGCAUGUCUGUCUGAGCGUCAGCAGACACCCUCAGCUGUGCCCUUUUGCUAGGGCGCACGCUGGUCUUGGGACUUUGGAUGCUGGGGUUAACUCCCCCCGCGCCUGCCCUAAACUUGCUGCACGACCUCUGGCUUACGCUGGGUCAAUGGAGUGGUGUCACAAUCUUCCAGAAGGCCUGUAGUUAGCACGGUGGCGUUAAACACUGCCGUCCCCCUCGGGGACCGAAGUUUUGACCUCAGAUCAGAUAAGGAUACCCGCUGAACUUAA